GAACGGGUGAGUAACACGUGGGCAACCUGCCUGUAAGACUGGGAUAACAUCGAGAAAUCGGUGCUAAUACUGGAUAAUAAAAAGAACUGCAUGGUUCUUUUUUGAUGGUUUCGGCUAUCACUUACAGAUGGGCCCGCGGCGCAUUAGCUAGUUGGUGGGGUAACGGCUCACCAAGGCGACGAUGCGUAGCCGACCUGAGAGGGUGAUCGGCCACACUGGGACUGAGACACGGCCCAGACUCCUACGGGAGGCAGCAGUAGGGAAUCUUCCGCAAUGGACGAAAGUCUGACGGAGCAACGCCGCGUGAUGAAGGUUUUCGGAUCGUAAAACUCUGUUGUUAGGGAAGAACAAGUGCCGUUCGGGCGGCACCUUGACGGUACCUAACGAGAAAGCCACGGCUAACUACGUGCCAGCAGCCGCGGUAAUACGUAGGUGGCUUUAGUCAAAGCGUUGUCCGGAAUUAUUGGGCGUAAAGCGCGCGCAGGCGGUCUCUUAAGUCUGAAAAGCCCCCGGCUCAACCGGGGAGGGUCAUUGGAAACUGGGAGACUUGAGUACAGAAGAGGAGAGUGGAAUUCCACGUGUAGCGGUGAAAUGCGUAGAGAUGUGGAGGAACACCAGUGGCGAAGACUCUCUGGUCUGUAACUGACGCUGAGGCGGAUCAAGCGAAAGCGUGGGGAGCAAACAGGAUUAGAUACCCUGGUAGUCCACGCCGUAAACGAUGAGUGCUAGGUGUUAGGGGUUUCGACGCCCUUAGUGCCGAAGUUAACAAGCACUCCGCCUAAUACCAGUGGGGAGUACGACCGCAAGGUUGAAACUCAAAGGAAUUGACGGGGGCCCGCACAAGCAGUGGAGCAUGUGAAUUCGAAGCAACGCGGGUACGUAAGAACCUUACCCUUGACAUCCUUUGACCACCCUAGAGAUAGGGCUUUCCCCUUCGGGGGACAAAGUGACAGGUGGUGCAUGGUUGUCGUCAGCUUGAUUCGUGUCGUGAGAUGUUAAGUCCCGCAACGAGCGCAACCCUUGACCUUAGUUGCCAGCAUUCAGUUGGGCACUCUAAGGUGACUGCCGGUGACAAACCGGAGGAAGGUGGGGAUUCAAAUCAUCAUGCCCCUUAUGACCUGGGCUACACACGUGCUGGAUGGUACAAAUUAGUCGGGUUGCGAAGCCGCGAGGUGAAGCCAAUCCCAGAAAGCCAUUCUCAGUUCGGAUUGCAGGCUGCAACUCGCCUGCAUGAAGCCGGAAUUGCUAGUAAUCGCGGAUCAGCAUGCCGCGGUGAAUACGUUCCCGGGCCUUGUACACACCGCCCGUCACACCACGAGAGUUUGUAACGAAGUCGGUGGGGUCUUUUUGGAGCCAGCCGCCUAAGGUGGGACAGAUGAUUGGGGUGAAGUCG
Molecule: ribosomal RNA, 1393 nt
Filed under: Bacillus sp. IGCAR-20/08
Lineage: Bacteria; Bacillati; Bacillota; Bacilli; Caryophanales; Bacillaceae
Description: 16S ribosomal RNA
Rfam family: Bacterial small subunit ribosomal RNA
Source: RNAcentral